AUCCUUCUGGGUUUAGUACAUAUGAUGAUUGGUCUAAUCACGAUUGUUUGUGAAAUGUGCUGCCUUCCUUUCUUGUUACGAAGUGCACAUUGACCGUCUGAUC
Small nucleolar RNA from Triplophysa dalaica, 103 nucleotides. RefSeq annotates it as small nucleolar RNA U13. Lineage: Eukaryota; Metazoa; Chordata; Actinopteri; Cypriniformes; Nemacheilidae. The transcript has a single exon. The record is from RefSeq and is a predicted model, not a curated record.